GAGUUUGAUCCUGGCUCAGGACGAACGCUGGCGGCGUGCCUAACACAUGCAAGUCGAGCGAUGAAACCCUUCGGGGUGGAUUAGCGGCGGACGGGUGAGUAACACGUGGGUAACCCGCCUCAAAGAGGGGAAUAGCCUUCCGAAAGGAAGAUUAAUACCGCAUAAUAUGUUUUGAUCGCAUGAUCUUAACAUCAAAGGAGUAAUCCGCUUUGAGAUGGACCCGCGGCGCAUUAGCUAGUUGGUGAGGUAACGGCUCACCAAGGCGACGAUGCGUAGCCGACCUGAGAGGGUGAUCGGCCACAUUGGAACUGAGACACGGUCCAAACUCCUACGGGAGGCAGCAGUGGGGAAUAUUGCGCAAUGGGGGAAACCCUGACGCAGCAACGCCGCGUGAAUGAUGAAGGCCUUCGGGUUGUAAAGUUCUGUCUUCUGGGACGAUAAUGACGGUACCAGAGGAGGAAGCCACGGCUAACUACGUGCCAGCAGCCGCGGUAAUACGUAGGUGGCAAGCGUUGUCCGGAUUUACUGGGCGUAAAGGAUGCGUAGGCGGACAUUUAAGUCAGAUGUGAAAUACCCGAGCUUAACUUGGGUGCUGCAUUUGAAACUGGGUGUCUAGAGUGCAGGAGAGGUAAGUGGAAUUCCUAGUGUAGCGGUGAAAUGCGUAG
This 665-nucleotide ribosomal RNA is filed under the name uncultured Bacillota bacterium. RNAcentral's name for it is "bacterial SSU rRNA". It matches the Rfam family "Bacterial small subunit ribosomal RNA", at positions 9 to 693 of the family's 1533-position model. Lineage: Bacteria; Bacillati; Bacillota. The record is from RNAcentral.